AACAAGUAAUUUAAACAAUUAAUAUAAUAUAAAUAAUAUGCUCACCUCUCCCCUUCUUCUAACCCUAUCCUCCUUAAGCAGCCCUUGAAGAUUUUCUUCGCCUGACCCCAGUCCUGCUUCCCUUGGAGGAAAUAAGUACAGCACAUCCCUAACUCGUUUUCCAUAAUGCUAGCAGCGUCCUUUGGCAAAACGCACAGUAGCAAUAAUCUCUGCAGGGGUCAGCAUCCGGCUGCCUCCCCAGACUGAGGUCUUUAAGAGGCAGGCAGGGAGUCGUUUUGCUUGGCAGUAGCGGUGCUCAGAGUGAUUUUUAUCGCAGUGCGUGAGGAUAUAUGGGGAAAGGGAAGGGUUCCCAUCACCUGUGACCACCCAGACAGCCUGAUCGAAGAGCCCCUAACCAGAAUCACCUCCCUGCUGAAGUGACACCCCAAGGCCCAGCAGUUAACCAAGACGUUUGCAGCAGGAGUUACUGAUGUUAUCAGUAUUCAAGCUUAGCUCUCAAAUCCGGCUCGGAAAUUGAGAGUGCAGUAGUAUUCAACUGCAUUUUGAAACAUCAAUAAAAUGUUAGUCAUUUGCGGGUGAAUGAAAACAUUUUCUUUACCGACUGGUAUGCUAGGGAAAUAAUUGUCAAAUGACAGACUCUUGCUAAUAUUGAUGCCAAAUACCUAGGUAACACUGUCAUCUUGUUAACUGCGUUUUUCUAUCGCGCGUGGAACACUGAUGGAUAAAGCUUAAAAUUAUCUAGGGCAAACGGGGCAUUAGAAGAAUCGACAUGUCGUGUAUAUGGGCAAAACUUCUCAGUAUUAUUUAGUAUUUUCACUAGAAACGAUCUAGAUCCCAUUGAAGAGAAGCAGAAGACACCGCUUACGGCAUUGUAGCUCAGUUUAGCGCUAUUUUAUGCGGGGAUAGGGCUCCAGCGUUUUCUAGUACAAGCUAUGAAAAGCAUUCUUUUGUAACUGCUGUUUCCCAGCGAUCUGACAUCUUCAGUGGGGAGGACGGGAGGAGAGGAGAUUUCUGUGACCAGGGAUGGAGCUAUGCAGCAGUUUUAAUAUGUACAACAACGCUUCGGGCUUGUGAAAGGAAACUGGAACCACUUACGUUUAAAGAUAAUUAGAGAUUUCUCCAAAUUACCUUGUGACCUUGGACACCAUCAUCAAUGUCAAAUUUAAGAAGAGAUUAAAGGGACUAAAUAUAGGGCCAAGUCAAGAAGACAAAGCAAAACAGAUACAGUGUAUGAAAAACAUAAUAUGAAACCCACAGCAAAUAUUCACCGAGGACUUAUGUGUCAAAUGUGGUAAGUUUUUUUUUAAUUAACUCACUAUAUGUAUAUUAUUAUCAGAUAUAUUUAUAUCUUACACUUUGGAAAACAAACUAUGUAUUAAAAACAGAAGUAACUUACAUUUAUUUAAAGAUAUUUAUUAAUCAUAGCUGUAAUAGUAAGCAUUAAGUUAAACAGUUUAG
This 1458-nucleotide long non-coding RNA is filed under the name Sus scrofa (pig). RNAcentral describes it as "lncRNA (ENSSSCG00070016364.1)". Lineage: Eukaryota; Metazoa; Chordata; Mammalia; Artiodactyla; Suidae. The record is from RNAcentral.